UAGCUUGGACGUAUUGGGUAUUGAUUUUCAAAGAAAACUUCAUAACAGCAAUUGGUACUAAUAUUUCCUCUAAAUAAGUCGUCUAUAGAAUCGAAGAGGCUGAGGAGACCGAUUUUAUGCACGAGCGAAGCGCUCGCUCGCCCUUCCACUCGCGGGGCUUCACUUCGCCAGUUCGCCCCUCGAUUCGGACCUGUCCGGUUGCAGCCGCUGUUCCAUUGCACCCGCUUCAGAACUGCGGUGUAGUGGCAACAAGAGGUGACCAAGCAAUCCAUCUCUGGGCACAUCCUCUGUCCGACGAUGGGGUCUCCAGCAAGGUCGUCGUCAUCCAUUCAGAUGGUUUUCCAGGAGACCAUGACAGUUAUGCCUCAGCCUCCUCCUCCACCCCCUCCUGCGGCAACGAUUGAGAUCUUGACAGCUGACCCUAUGGCGGGCGCCACGGUUGUGACCAUGGGCUCUCCAGGCAUGAAUGUCCGAGCGACGAUGUCGAACGAGGGAGUGAACAUGCAAGUAACUAACGAUUGUGCGCCCGGUUGCGGAGUUCAGGUGCCAGCAGCGCAACCUCGACGAAGCACGUCCACCACCCGUUUCGAGAGGCGAGUCAUCAUCGUGGACGGCACCGAAACGGUCGAAGAAUACGAGAACGGACGACUGGUCAGAAAGACAGUUAAUGGAAAGCCCCAACCUGUUUAGUAGGACUUGGUCGAUUGCGUGACAUCGACUUGCCAGUAAAAUUUCUUGCACUGUGG
Molecule: long non-coding RNA, 746 nt
Organism: Ornithodoros turicata
Lineage: Eukaryota; Metazoa; Arthropoda; Arachnida; Ixodida; Argasidae
Exons: 2
Source: RefSeq, a predicted model, not a curated record